UCCCUGGUGGUCCAGUGGUUAAGAUCCUGAGCUGUCAACGCAGGGGACACGGGUUUGAUCCCUGGCCAGAGAA
This 73-nucleotide transfer RNA is filed under the name Bos taurus (domestic cattle). It matches the Rfam family "tRNA". From Rfam's summary of the family: Transfer RNA (tRNA) molecules are approximately 80 nucleotides in length. Their secondary structure includes four short double-helical elements and three loops (D, anti-codon, and T loops). RNAcentral also lists the same sequence under 5 other names. The record is from Rfam by way of RNAcentral. Lineage: Eukaryota; Metazoa; Chordata; Mammalia; Artiodactyla; Bovidae.